CGAUAGCUUAUCAUAAAUAACAUUCCCUUUAGUUUACAAGCAACGCUAAAGAAGUUCUAAUACAAGCUACAAAACACAGCACAAUCAGAAUGUACAAAUAUUUUAUUGUUUAGCCAUGCCUCGUGUUAAUUGCCCACAAGCCUUGGAGUUGCCUAAGAUCAAGUACAACUUCUUUAACCAAGCUUACUAGGUCAUGUACUGCCUUGACAUCCAUCUCUCCUCAUAUCUCCCAAAGGAGUUGGCAGAAUAAGGUGCCUCAGUGACGUUGAGGGAAUCAGGUUCUAUGCCGUAAUCUGUCAGUGGUCUGUGUUCAAGAACUUCGUCGUGACUUUUCACGAAAUCAGGAAUUUCAACCUCUCCCUUUUUUAUAUCUUCUGACAGAUACUGAAGGCG
RNAcentral lists this unclassified non-coding RNA (393 nucleotides) under Hevea brasiliensis (rubber tree). Lineage: Eukaryota; Viridiplantae; Streptophyta; Magnoliopsida; Malpighiales; Euphorbiaceae. The record is from RNAcentral.